RNAcentral lists this ribosomal RNA (675 nucleotides) under Acinetobacter baumannii Naval-17. Its description in RNAcentral is "bacterial SSU rRNA". It matches the Rfam family "Bacterial small subunit ribosomal RNA", at positions 28 to 697 of the family's 1533-position model. Lineage: Bacteria; Pseudomonadati; Pseudomonadota; Gammaproteobacteria; Moraxellales; Moraxellaceae. The record is from RNAcentral.
AUUGAACGCUGGCGGCAGGCUUAACACAUGCAAGUCGAGCGGGGGAAGGUAGCUUGCUACUGGACCUAGCGGCGGACGGGUGAGUAAUGCUUAGGAAUCUGCCUAUUAGUGGGGGACAACAUCUCGAAAGGGAUGCUAAUACCGCAUACGUCCUACGGGAGAAAGCAGGGGAUCUUCGGACCUUGCGCUAAUAGAUGAGCCUAAGUCGGAUUAGCUAGUUGGUGGGGUAAAGGCCUACCAAGGCGACGAUCUGUAGCGGGUCUGAGAGGAUGAUCCGCCACACUGGGACUGAGACACGGCCCAGACUCCUACGGGAGGCAGCAGUGGGGAAUAUUGGACAAUGGGGGGAACCCUGAUCCAGCCAUGCCGCGUGUGUGAAGAAGGCCUUAUGGUUGUAAAGCACUUUAAGCGAGGAGGAGGCUACUUUAGUUAAUACCUAGAGAUAGUGGACGUUACUCGCAGAAUAAGCACCGGCUAACUCUGUGCCAGCAGCCGCGGUAAUACAGAGGGUGCGAGCGUUAAUCGGAUUUACUGGGCGUAAAGCGUGCGUAGGCGGCUUAUUAAGUCGGAUGUGAAAUCCCCGAGCUUAACUUGGGAAUUGCAUUCGAUACUGGUGAGCUAGAGUAUGGGAGAGGAUGGUAGAAUUCCAGGUGUAGCGGUGAAAUGCGUAGAGAU